GGGUUGUGAGGUUAAGCGACUAAGCGUACACGGUGGAUGCCCUGGCAGUCAGAGGCGAUGAAGGGCGUGCUAAUCUGCGAUAAGCGCCGGUAAGGUGAUAUGAACCGUUAUAACCGGCGAUACCCGAAUGGGGAAACCCAGUGUGACUCGUCACACUAUCAUUAACUGAAUCCAUAGGUUAAUGAGGCGAACCGGGGGAACUGAAACAUCUAAGUACCCCGAGGAAAAGAAAUCAACCGAGAUUCCCCCAGUAGCGGCGAGCGAACGGGGAGGAGCCCAGAGCCUGAAUCAGCAUGUGUGUUAGUGGAAGCGUCUGGAAAGGCGCGCGAUACAGGGUGACAGCCCCGUACACAAAAGCGCAUGUGCUGUGAGCUCGAUGAGUAGGGCGGGACACGUGGUAUCCUGUCUGAAUAUGGGGGGACCAUCCUCCAAGGCUAAAUACUCCUGACUGACCGAUAGUGAACCAGUACCGUGAGGGAAAGGCGAAAAGAACCCCGGCGAGGGGAGUGAAAAAGAACCUGAAACCGUGUACGUACAAGCAGUGGGAGCCCCACCACCAAAGCAUUCUCUGGUGUUGAAGGCCCUGCAAAGCAGCAUCGCGGUGGCGGAGCGUCGUUUGCGACGCCCAACACACAAAACAAGCGGUGAAUGCUUUGGGGUGGGGUGACUGCGUACCUUUUGUAUAAUGGGUCAGCGACUUAUAUUCUGUAGCAAGGUUAACCGAAUAGGGGAGCCGGAGGGAAACCGAGUCUUAAUUGGGCGUUAAGUUGCAGGGUAUAGACCCGAAACCCGGUGAUCUAGCCAUGGGCAGGUUGAAGGUUGGGUAACACUAACUGGAGGACCGAACCGACUAAUGUUGAAAAAUUAGCGGAUGACCUGUGGCUGGGGGUGAAAGGCCAAUCAAACCGGGAGAUAGCUGGUUCUCCCCGAAAGCUAUUUAGGUAGCGCCUCGUGAAUUCAUCUCCGGGGGUAGAGCACUGUUUCGGCUAGGGGGCCAUCCCGGCUUACCAACCCGAUGCAAACUGCGAAUACCGGAGAAUGUUAUCACGGGAGACACACGGCGGGUGCUAACGUCCGUCGUGAAGAGGGAAACAACCCAGACCGCCAGCUAAGGUCCCAAAGUCAUGGUUAAGUGGGAAACGAUGUGGGAAGGCCCAGACAGCCAGGAUGUUGGCUUAGAAGCAGCCAUCAUUUAAAGAAAGCGUAAUAGCUCACUGGUCGAGUCGGCCUGCGCGGAAGAUGUAACGGGGCUAAACCAUGCACCGAAGCUGCGGCAGCGAACGUAUCACCCAAGACAACUUUACGGAGUUGACGAUUGACGGAGCGAAGCGACGUCAAAGCGUUCAUUAAAGUCGAGUUGGCUUAGGGAUACGUUCGUUGGGUAGGGGAGCGUUCUGUAAGCCUGUGAAGGUGUGUCGUGAGGCAUGCUGGAGGUAUCAGAAGUGCGAAUGCUGACAUAAGUAACGAUAAAGCGGGUGAAAAGCCCGCUCGCCGGAAGACCAAGGGUUCCUGUCCAACGUUAAUCGGGGCAGGGUGAGUCGACCCCUAAGGCGAGGCCGAAAGGCGUAGUCGAUGGGAAACGGGUUAAUAUUCCCGUACUUGGUGUUACUGCGAAGGGGGGACGGAGAAGGCUAUGUUGGCCGGGCGACGGUUGUCCCGGUUUAAGCGUGUAGGUGUGUGUUCCAGGUAAAUCCGGUUCACUUUAACACUGAGGCGUGACGACGAGGCACUACGGUGCUGAAGCAACAAAUGCCCUGCUUCCAGGAAAAGCCUCUAAGCAUCAGGUAACACGAAAUCGUACCCCAAACCGACACAGGUGGUCAGGUAGAGAAUACCAAGGCGCUUGAGAGAACUCGGGUGAAGGAACUAGGCAAAAUGGUGCCGUAACUUCGGGAGAAGGCACGCUGACACGUAGGUGAAGUGAUUUACUCAUGGAGCUGAAGUCAGUCGAAGAUACCAGCUGGCUGCAACUGUUUAUUAAAAACACAGCACUGUGCAAACACGAAAGUGGACGUAUACGGUGUGACGCCUGCCCGGUGCCGGAAGGUUAAUUGAUGGGGUCAGCGCAAGCGAAGCUCCUGAUCGAAGCCCCGGUAAACGGCGGCCGUAACUAUAACGGUCCUAAGGUAGCGAAAUUCCUUGUCGGGUAAGUUCCGACCUGCACGAAUGGCGUAAUGAUGGCCAGGCUGUCUCCACCCGAGACUCAGUGAAAUUGAACUCGCUGUGAAGAUGCAGUGUACCCGCGGCAAGACGGAAAGACCCCGUGAACCUUUACUAUAGCUUGACACUGAACAUUGAGCCUUGAUGUGUAGGAUAGGUGGGAGGCUUUGAAGUGUGGACGCCAGUCUGCAUGGAGCCGACCUUGAAAUACCACCCUUUAAUGUUUGAUGUUCUAACGUGGACCCGUAAUCCGGGUUGCGGACAGUGUCUGGUGGGUAGUUUGACUGGGGCGGUCUCCUCCUAAAGAGUAACGGAGGAGCACGAAGGUUGGCUAAUCCUGGUCGGACAUCAGGAGGUUAGUGCAAUGGCAUAAGCCAGCUUGACUGCGAGCGUGACGGCGCGAGCAGGUGCGAAAGCAGGUCAUAGUGAUCCGGUGGUUCUGAAUGGAAGGGCCAUCGCUCAACGGAUAAAAGGUACUCCGGGGAUAACAGGCUGAUACCGCCCAAGAGUUCAUAUCGACGGCGGUGUUUGGCACCUCGAUGUCGGCUCAUCACAUCCUGGGGCUGAAGUAGGUCCCAAGGGUAUGGCUGUUCGCCAUUUAAAGUGGUACGCGAGCUGGGUUUAGAACGUCGUGAGACAGUUCGGUCCCUAUCUGCCGUGGGCGCUGGAGAACUGAGGGGGGCUGCUCCUAGUACGAGAGGACCGGAGUGGACGCAUCACUGGUGUUCGGGUUGUCAUGCCAAUGGCACUGCCCGGUAGCUAAAUGCGGAAGAGAUAAGUGCUGAAAGCAUCUAAGCACGAAACUUGCCCCGAGAUGAGUUCUCCCUGAGACUUUAGGUCUCCUGAAGGAACGUUGAAGACGACGACGUUGAUAGGCCGGGUGUGUAAGCGCAGCGAUGCGUUGAGCUAACCGGUACUAAUGAACCGUGAGGCUUAACCUUACAACGCCGAAG
Molecule: ribosomal RNA, 3113 nt
Filed under: Salmonella enterica subsp. enterica serovar 1,4,[5],12:i:-
Lineage: Bacteria; Pseudomonadati; Pseudomonadota; Gammaproteobacteria; Enterobacterales; Enterobacteriaceae
Description: 23S ribosomal RNA
Rfam family: Bacterial large subunit ribosomal RNA
Source: RNAcentral